GGCGUUUUGCGGCCGGUCCUCGGCCGGCAGGGUGGCCUGGGGAUGUGUGAGAAACGGGAAUCCUCGCCGGGUCAGGAACCCAGAACUCUGGCCCGGCUCGGCAGUGGGGUGGUGACAGCCCUCCAGGGGGCGCCCGGAUCGGACUUGGGGCUCAGUGGCCCCGAGCUCACCGUGGGAGCCUCGCCGCGCUUCAGCGGGGAGGCCGGUGAGAGGGCCUGCCCACGCCUGCCUUCCCCACUGUGCUGUGAGCUCACGCACAUUCCGCAGGGGACCCCGCGGCUGGAGCAGCCAGGACUGGCUGCAGCUGCUGCGGAGGAAGGGAGGGCCAGGCCGGCCGGAAGACAGGCCCUGCACUCGUCCAGGAGCGGGGGGACCAGCUGGGCGCCCAGGGCUGAGGGCGAGGGCAGCGCGGACAGUUUUGCCUCUCUUCAGAAGGAAAACGACAGCAAGACUCGCAGGCUGGGGGCACGCGGGGAGCGGGGUUGGCACCGUGUCGGACGGACAGCGCGCGGCGCGUUAGCCCGAGGCCUGAGGCCUGAGCUUGGCGGCGGCCUGCAGCCAGAGGACGCGGGAAAGGGAGCGGGCACCGGGAGCGCCGCUUCUGCGUCUGCCCGCGAAACCUUAGGGGGACCGAGGCCUCCCUGGCGCCCAGCACAGCCCAUCCAGGCCCGGGCGGCUCCUGGCGGGGCGCGGCCAGCAGGGGGCGCGCCGCACCCGGGAACGUGCGUGGCGGGCGCCCGGCAGGGGCCGCCCAGGAGGAGGCCGACUGCGGAUGCUGCCGCGCGUGGCUAGGGCCCCUGGAUCUGCAGCUCCGAAACACGCGUGAGCUUCCGGGCCCCCGAUCUGACAGGAGGCCCAGCAGGGCAGCCGGGCAGUUUCCGCCUGGCGAGGAAGCUUGCGAAUGUCACCUGUCCUUGGCCUCUGACUGGUGUUCCCCUGUGGCCUAUGGAUGCUGCAUUUAUGUUCCUGGUUGCUCUGUGAACCCCAUACUGAGACGAGUCCCCUUCUAAACAUCGCCAGGGUCCAAGAGCUGUCUGAUCCUCCCCAGCCCUGACUGUCUCAGCUCCAGGCAGGUGGGGACAGCGCCUGAGUGGUCAGGAGGACCCGAAAGUCCUCUGGAUGGGUUGGAAAACACAGCCAGAUGCUUCCUUUUAAAAAAUCUUCAUAUUGACAUCAACAUCAAGAUUAACCCUCAGACUCCCGAAAGUCACUUGUUACUUCAGCCAGCAGUGAAGUUGGCCGACUCUUCUGACCUUGGGCGGCAGUGGGGCCUGAACCCUGGCCCGCCCACGGAGAGCUGCCGCUGAGCCCCUUUUCCACCUGGCUCCCCGGGGAACCACAAGCAGACAGACUUCCUCCUAGCAUUAAGUAACUACCCAGGCGUCAGUGGGCGCAGUGCCGUUAACUGGUCGCCCUUCACAGACAGGUGGAAUUCUCCCCACAUUCUUUACUGGAACCUAAAUUUGGGGGUGUGCUUUCCAGAACCUUUGCUUUUUCUAUCCACACACACAGAAAGUAACCAUUUCUCCCUGCACCUGUUUUCCUUCUUUCUGAGCCGAGGCCUCACUGCUGUUUGUCAUCCAGGGCUGGCCUCGAACUUGCAGGCCCACUGCCUCCGCCCUCUGAGUGCUGGGAUGGCAGGAGUGCGCAUGCUGGCCUUUUCCUGCUUUCCCGUUUUCCCUGGACCUGCAUCUCCAGGAGCCCCAAGCCCGGCUGGCGGCCCGGGGCUGUGCAGCAUCUCGCCUUCCCCGGGGGGAGAACGUCACUGACGCCCCUGAAAAUGGCUUGUGAGGGAGACCACUUUGUUUCCAUUUCCGGUCUGUAAUUUGCAGAUCUUUAAGAAAAAGCAGCGAAACCCCUUCCAGGACUCUGUAUUCGUAGGAUUUCUGCCAGAAGGAUCUCAAGAUCGCAGGAUCCACCUGACGGGACGCAGAGAGGCUCGGGAGGAAGCGGGCGGCCGGGUGGGAUCCGCCCCAGCCCCCUUCCACCACACCGAAGAGCCAGGUCCUUUGCUGCCUUGCUCAGCGCCCGCUUUUCCGGCUCCUGUCUGCCCGUCUGUCCUCUUUCUGUUUAAUUCACCGCUGGUCACUUCCUGCUCGGCCCCACGUCUAAUCGGAGUGUCCGGCAGCGGACCAGCAGCCCUCCUCGCUGACGCUCCGGCCCAGCGAGGAGCGCAGGCCCCAGGCAGCUCACAUCCGGCACAUCCCAGGGGUGAGGCGAGGCCUGAGCCCUGCCUUGGCUGGAAGAAUCGGAACAGCGCUGAAGACAGCCCCAUCCUCCUUUAAAAACAAUUCUGUACGGUGCAGUGGUGCGUGCCUGUAACCCCAGCACCCGGGAGGCUGAGGCAGGAGGAUCCUCACGAGUUCAAGGCCAGUCUGAGCUACAUAGUGAGAUGCUGUCUCAAAAGACCAAAAAUUCUAGCAUCAUUGGUGGAAGAUGAUAAUCUCAUUUUGUUUUAAUUUUUGACAGUAUAAAGAAUAAUUUUCAUAUUUACUAGAUUUGUCUUAUUUAAUUUCCCCUUUUGCUUCAAGCCAGUCUUUCUCGGUUGUACGCUCUUUUGCAAACCCACCUUGGCUACCCAGGGACUUUCUACUUUGAAUUUCUAAAGAGCCAAAGCCAACUGCGGAUGUUUACCGAGCUUGUGCUGCAAAGGAGUACAGGGGAGCGCUCCGUGCGCCCCCGUUACGCGCACCAAGCAGCCCGGGGUGCUGCUCGGAGCCCCCGGAGGAAGGCUCGGGCUGUCAGGCCUGCGGUUAGGAGCCCUGCCUCGGCUGCCCUGGGUGGAGCUGCUUCCAGCACCAUCAGGGAUACCGCGGGGCAGUGGAGGGGCGAGGGGUGCAGACCCCGCUGGUUCCAGCGGCCGCCCUGAGCAGGGGACCCUGGAUGUUGGUACUGACAGGAGGCCCUGAGGGCUGAGCGCGCCCGGAACGGGGCAGCGCCGCGGCUCUGACCCGGGCUCACUGGCUCGCACUUAGCGCGCAGUUCUCAGGGGGCAACGAGACAUUUCCUGCUCAGGUCCCGGCUGCGGAGGGAGUCCCGGGUGAGGGAUCUCCCCGAAAUGCCAGGCUGAGAAGGCCUCAGACGCUCACAGGGGAAGCCCGCGGCCUUUGCCCUCGAAGGAAUUUGGGGCAGAUUCCUUCUCCCAGUCACAGUUCCUUUCUUGACUGACCAAAGCUGUAGUUUGACUUCCUUCCUGGAACUCUGCCCUCUGCUGUUGGCCCCGCUGGCCCCGCUGCUAUAUCCUCAUUGGUGGGUCCCUUUUGCCUAUAAACCCUCAACAUAUAAUGGUUCAUCUUAGGACUUUUCAACGUUAUGCUACUACCAACGCCACAAACAUUCAGGAGAGACUGUGCUUGGAGUGCUGAUCUCUGUCUGUCCCUCGGAAGCUGCGCCAUGACCCUCCUCACUCCGGGCUGGCCAGUGCAGCUCCCCACCAGCCAGGACCCACAGUGUGUCUGGGCUCUGCUUAAUGGGUGAGCUGUACCCAAUGCAUCUCCAGUUUAUGCUUUUAUCAACGUAGGGUGGGUUUAUUAGGCUGUAAGUCAAGGAGCAGCUGUCUUUGAGAUGCCACUGUUAGGGGCAACCUGCAGAUGGCCCUGUGAGGGGCAGCAAGUGGUGCGGCCCAUCCUCCAAGUACCCAGGCAUCAUGGGGCACCUGUAGCAGCCACUUGACCUUCAAAGCUGUGACAGUGAAUCUUGAUGGUCAACUUGCUUGGCUUGAGAGAGUCCUAGGAGAUUAGUCAAGCAGAGCGUCGAGUGUCCCGGUGUCCCCUUAAGUACUUUGUCUGGUCCCUGGCCCCUGCCUCUCUGGUCCCACCCUCUGCUUCCCAACUGCCAUGAGUUGAGACGCUUUCCUCCACUUCCACCAUGAUGUUCCUGACCCGGAGCCAACUGACUGUGGACUGAACCUUCUGAAGCUGUGAGCCAAAAUAAACCUCUCUUCCUUUCAGUUGCAGGUGUCAGCUGUUUGGUCCCAGCACUGGACAGGUGACAAAUAUAAUGGUAUCAUGUAAUGUCGGGACUGGCUAGAAAAGUCUGAGAUCGCCCAAGACAACCGGGGAGCCCAGAGUGUCUCUUCAACACCAAGGAAGAGCCAAGAGGCACUGUCUUGUUGGAGACAACAGCUAAAAGCCUGCAGAGCAAGGAUCCGGGGGCAGGGGCAGGGAGCAGCUGCGGCAGUUCCAGCGCAGAGUCCUGUGACCCGCUGUGCAGUGCUGGACCUGACCGAUCGCUCACAGCCCUCCUUCCUUCGGGCACGCCUUUGCACCGAGCUGCCUUCCCAGCCCACCCCUGUCAGCUGCGUAUUCUGAGACGUUGUCUCCCUAAGUCACUGAGUUGCCCAGGCUGGGCGCAAACUUAUGAUCCUCCUGCCUCAGCCUCCCAGAGCACGGUGAAAAUAGGCCUGGCUGGAAAGUAUCCUCUACAUGCAUCAUCUUCACUGUCCUCUCAGCAGCCCUAGAUCAGGACUGCUUCGUCAUCUUGUAUUCCAGAUGGGGAGACGAGGCACAGAGAUGAGUUCCCGAGGCAGGGAGCCAGCCGACUCGAGCCCCACACUGGGGUCACAGAGCAUGCUGGUCGGCGCCAAGCUCCUGUCGGGCCGAGGGGCAGUGUGGAGAGCAGCUCUAGGGUCAGCUCCCCUGGCUCACAGGGCCGGGGCGCCCCGGGGGAUCCUGGCUACUCCUCCCCAGAGGAGAAGGCUGGGCAGGGGGCCUCUGCUCUCUACAGCGAGAUCCGGAGGAGUCCGGACAGAGGGGAGCGUUCUCUCAGUCUGGUGUUGGGCCCCAACUUCAAAGCCCAGGGGUCAUGGAAAGCGCAGGGAAGGCCGUGCUGCUGAGAAGGCCCUGCGGGCUCUGGGGUCAGGGAGAAGGCAGCCAGCCCGUCUGCAGCUCCCUUGCUCUCAGGUGUAAAGUGCACGGAACUCCCUGGCUCUGCACUGGUGGGCUGGAGCGCUCACACACGGCAAAUCCUCAGCCCAGUGCCUGGCACACGGCCUGUUCUCAGGCCCCAUGGGAAUCUCGCUUCUAGGGCUCUGCUAAUAUCAGUCUGGGGAUUCUGCCUCUUAGGCCAAAGUCUCCUCUGAAUUCUUUACUCCCUUGUUUCGGAUGACAAGAUCCAGGACUUCUUUUAGUACCUGUGGUUCUCGAAGUCCCAGGGCCCUUUUCCACAUCUCACUUUGGGCUUGGUGCCGUGGCCAACAUGGCCAGGGCUCUGGUGCUCACCUCUUCCUCUCCAGGGCUGCAGAAAUAGGGCCCCUGCGCCCUUUGGCCUGCAGGGCUCCUGGGCCAGGCUGCCCCUGCUAGAGGUCAGGCCCGCUGGCUUCCCUAGGCUCUGCACCGAUCGCCCAAGUCCACUGCCUCUGGCGGGCCUGCCGGGCGCAGCCCCCAGAACCCAGCCCCUGCUGCCUCCCUGAGAAUCCUGCCAGAGCUCUCUACUGCGACACCAGGACCUGAUGACAGCAGCAAGUUGGGUUCCUUUUUGUAGCAAAUGACAAGAGAUCCAGCUGAAACAAACAUAAACCACUCUGUGAUAGAAAAGUCAGGGCGCAGCAGGAUGUGAAAUCGCCAACCAAAUUAUCAAGUCUGUGCCCGUCUUUGCCCUCUGGUGGCUUCAUUUGGCCAGAGCUCCCCAGUCAGGCGGCAGAGGCAGCUCACCUGUGGCUGCCUGCGGUUCCUCUCGGGCAUUGCUCCUCCCACAUGCUUGCCCUUCGAAGCAAGGUGGUGACUUCGAAGAUUUCUCUACCAGUGGUAGAAUACCUCUGCCUUCUCUCUGAGGUUGGGUGUAGCUAGUGAUGCAUUUCAUUGAAGGAACAUGGUUGUGAACCACAGGACAUCAGUUCUGAGCCUUGGUCUUAAGAUCUCCAUUUGCCCUUCUCCACUGCUGGUGGGAAUGCAGACUGGUGCAACCACCGUGGAAAUCAGUAUGGAGAUACCUCAAAGAACUAGGACUGGAGGUCCCGUUUGACCCAGCUACUCCCCUGCUGGGGAUCUUCCCCAAAGAAUUAAAAGAAUCAUACCACAGUGAUAUAUGUGCACCCAUGUUCACAGUGGCACAGUUUGUGAUAGCUAAAGCUUGGAAGCAACCCAAAUGCCCAUCAACUGGAGACUGGAUCAAGAAAAUGUGUUUUUUUUUUAAUAAAAUGGAGUACUACUCAGACAUAAAGAACAAGAAACUAGAGACAUUUAUGGCCAAAUGGAUGCACACUGAGGCCAUACUCUUAAGUGAAAUAAAUAGGACACACAUGUGUAAAUACCAAAUAGUUUCUCUAGUGUGAGAAACUGACAGUGUAAAUAAGGAUUAAAACAUAUAAUAGAUAAUGUGAAAUAGGAAGAAAAGGUCCAAAGGGGUAGGGGUGGUGGGAGGGGAAGGGGAAAGGGAAGAAGGGAAAGGAAAAAUUAUGAGAAAAGAAAAAAAAUGGAAACAAAGUCUAUGUAAAUAGGGAAGGGUGGAGGGGGUGAAGGGCGAACAGGUAAUGGGGAAGAAAUAAGAACCAAGAUACGUCGUGUACAGGUGCAAGCACCCAAUGAGAAAUGUAAAUGAAUUGUAUACCUAAAGUGUACCAAUAAAAGAAUCUAAGAAAACAAAAGAUCUCCAUUUGCUUUUCCCACGCUUCUGGAAUCACCGUGAGCG
This is a long non-coding RNA of Heterocephalus glaber (naked mole-rat), 6627 nucleotides long. NCBI's taxonomy places the organism in Eukaryota, Metazoa, Chordata, Mammalia, Rodentia, Bathyergidae. The record is from Ensembl.